RNAcentral lists this long non-coding RNA (4459 nucleotides) under Androctonus crassicauda. The record is from RNAcentral. Lineage: Eukaryota; Metazoa; Arthropoda; Arachnida; Scorpiones; Buthidae.
GCCGUCUGCUCCGUCUGCCUCUGCUGCUACACCGUCAAUCACCUGCCCUUCCUGGUGAGUACCUCCGCUUAUUUUCUCGGCGCCGCGGUCACUGGGUCGGGCCACCGUCGAUCCAGCUUCUACGGCCCCAUCCCGUCUGGGAAGCGGCGGGACCACCGUGGCCAUUCUUUGGUUCGGUAUCCGUGCCGGACGCGUUGGGAAAGUCGGCGGAAGCGCGCCUCUUUUUUCCGUCACUGGGCCGUAAAUUCGGCGGAUAACGAGGUCCGCUUGGCUAGCCAAGGACGUCCCGUCCUAUUACAAAAACCGGGAUGUAGAAAGGAACUGGGGCCGGCAAUCCAGGCCUAGCGCGCCUCCGACCUUAUUCCAUCCUCCGGGUUUGCAGUCGAGUUGGGUAAAUGUAGACUAAGGCCGCCGGUGUACCGUCUGUACGGAAAUGGUUCGGUCGAUCGACUUCGGUAACCGAUCUCCAGCUAUUGGCCGAUUUCCAAUUAUCCCGCCUGGCUUAGCGCGCCUUAGUAACGCGGCGGGAAAUUUCCGUCCAGCGGUGGAAGUAAUGGUAACGGAUCCGAUGGAUGGCCUUAUCGAAAAUAAUAUAAACCAGUCUAAGGACAGGUCCGCGGCUGCGAUUUACAGGAAAAUCUUCGACCGUUACUUAUGACUAAAAUGCCAAACCAGUUAUCGUUCGAAUAUGAAAGACCCGAAGCGGUAGCCACGUUUUUAGUUUACAAAUACCAAAAUGAUAAGCCCGUUCGGUCGUCGCUAAAAGCGCCCCGGUCGGACGGUUUAGCCGCUAAACCGCCAUUUUUACCGGCUUAGUUUAACGGCCGAUGUAAACGGUAGUCGAUAUUCGACCGACCAUCCACCACCGUCGAAAUCGCUUAUUAAAACGCCUCUUUAUCUUAGAGGGCGCUCGAAAACGCCAGUUUGGUUAACGGUGGACGGGAUUUAGCGGCGCUUCUUCCUUCCCACCCGGCGCUCGUUCUCGGACACGUCGAUAAAAGCGCCGCGGCCUGACCGACUGGGUCCGGCCUAGACCACCACGGGGUAAGCCGGGUCACCUUCCACGGUCCAAUCUGCCGCCACGGGAGUACGACUUUUCUUCCCACGGUCGAAUCCCGCGUGUCAGACUCGCGUAAUUAUGUUUUUUAGCGGCGGGCCAAUUCUAUCGGAACGGGAUUUGAACCCGGAUGGGGCGGAACGGUGCCAGUAUUAUUGGACCGAAACUCCGACCCGGGUAGCUAUGGAGAGCUGGACGGAUUUGGAAGAAGCAUCCCCGGCCGCUAUAGCACCGGCAGAAGAUAAGCGGGGGAGGAUAGGCUACGGCCGUUAAGAAUAUCCCGGUCAAACGAGUUGUCAAUAAAAUGUGGCUCGGCCAUUUUUGCCGGUGGAAAAGAAUUUUUUCAAGCGACGCGAGUGGCCUGUAUUUAACUCGCAGGUUAUCCGAAGAAGAAGAAUGGCCCGUCUGUUCUCCGGUUACCGAGAAAAUACCCACCAAUUUUUUCCAUUCGUUUAAGUCCGGUAACAGAGUUACGGGACUGGCUGGAAGUAUUAUAUGGUCCAGGUUGAGAGCCGCCCGUGGCACGGAAUCUUCUCUGUUAGGCGAACCUACUCUUAAAAUUUUAAAAUAUUGCACGGUUAGCGGCCAAAAUUCCCUCGCCUUUACCCGACAUCGACCCGAAAUUACGCGUUUUCCGUAACAUUCCGGUCGACCCGUGGUCGGGCGGCCUACCUAUCAAUUUUUUGCGGUCGGUGGCCGCCUAACUACGCUUUUAUAGCGUUGAAUAAAUAUUGCCCGGAGCGAUAUCCGAGCAGCGAUUGGCCUAGCUGGCCUCCAGUUUAACCCGGCUAGGGCCGCUAUUUCUCGGCAGCCGUCGAGAGCCAGAUAGGCCCAUUUACUUAAAUACAGCUGAGCUGACAGAGAACGCUUAGCUUUACUAGCUGGAUGGCGCCGUCGGCUGGGUGUCCAACGGUAUCGGUAGACGGCGGCCACUUUCCGCCUUUUCGUUCGGGCCUAACACCCCGACCAAAAUUUAAAAAUAACAAAAAUACGUCCGAUAUACAAAUAGGAAGUGAAGACCGGUUCUCCCUUAUACGCCUACCUCCGCUGGAGAACCGCUGGUAUAUAGUAUACGUAAAUUAUAUAUACUAGGGUCGUGUAGGCGGUAUAAGCUUAUACGUAUACGUAUACAGCCUACGCGCGUAUAUAAUUGAGUGCGCGUAUACGCGCCAUAUUUAGCGCCAGGCGGUACGGAUAACGUAUAUUACUGUAUUAUAUAAUUUCGAUAGUAUAAAAUAAUUUCGUUUAACGAGGCGGGAAUAUUUUACGGACCGAGUGGAAUACGGAAAGCCAAAAAUUAUCGGAGAGCGUAUUUAAUUAAGAAGAGCCACUAAGAUCCACACGCACUCUCCUUUACUAGUCGAGAAUAUUUAGGAGGCCGAGUGGCCGGGCCGCGGGACCCGAAUUGGCCUCCCUGGACCGAACUCUCGAAAACUUUUUUCGGCCUCCUCUGCUGGCCGGUGUGGAUACGGCCGGUGGAGGGAACGGGCCCCGCCCCUUACUCAUCUCCACCGGGAGAAACGGAGGUAAAAUAUGUCACCAAAAAGUGAAGACCAUUUAAAAUUAUAUCCGUAAUAUAGCCGAUGAUGGGACCAGGCGGAAUAUAUUAUACUACCGUCCCGCUUCCAAAGAACGGUUGGUUAAAAGACCCCAUCUACUUAUAAUUGGCGUUAUUUCCGUAACAAAAUUGUAUCGAAAUUUCUCCGCCUGUUUCCAUCCGGCACGGGCCAACUUUUGUCAUCGAUUGGCUGGAAAAAUAUUAGUUUGGCACCGAACUGUAAAUUCCUCGGUCGUAUAGUAUUUUUGGGCAUUAUCUUCUUUUCUUCUACCCACGGUAACUGCCCCACCGCUAGGUGUAAGCGUACCGGGUUGGGUUAGAAGCGUUCAGAAUUUAAACAGACCAAACUUAAAAGUUUAAACCAAAAAGAUGAAGAGGGAUGGGACAGAUUGGCUCUAGCCGGAAGAGAUACCAGAUUGAAUACGGUAAUACCACCGGUUCCGUGUUUUUCCUAUUACCUAAUAUAAUAAAUGUCGACACUAUCGGAAGAAGGUACACCAGGACCACUUUAUCUCCAACGGAAUCUGUGGGUUUACUAGGGUAUCCCGAGACCAUCAGUUCCCAUUUAUUACGGUAAUUACCGAGUUAUAAAGCGGACACCCCAAUCUUAGCCGGUAAGAGAGAAAGCCACAAACCAAAACUGACCUAUCCGUCGGUCCGCUUAAAAUUAGACAGAUACCACCGAAAUACGGUCGAUGUAUAUACCCGAUGAAGAGGUCGGGACUAGCGGUAACUUGGAGGAAAGCCGACUCCACUGGUGCCAGACAAUGGUUAGAAGAACGCCUUCUGUUUAAAGCGGUGUUUUCCGACUUUUUUUAAACCAUCCAUAGAGUAAUUUAAACUCCGAGAGCCGCUUUAAAUUUUAAUUAAACACCGAGUUUAUCCGCAUCGAUAUAGCGUAAAUAGCCAGAGGCCGUACAGUCUACCCGCCAACGGUGUAAGUGGCCCUAUAACUAGUUUAAUUUACGCACGCCGAGUUAAAAAGGAGUACACUCCUGACCGGCGGCUUUCGGCUAGGCUGUCCGACGACGUUACUCCACGGUGGCUAAAGAGGUUUGGCUUCGAAAACCCCCGCCCCAAUUAAAAAUACAUUUAAGGAAAGUCCAUUCGGUUUUAAAGAUUAAUUCAGUUUAAAAUAUCGAAGGACUCGACUCAGAGGCGGCAGCCAUCCGCCUAUCUCUAGCCUUUUAAAGUUACACAUUUCUUUAUAUGUAUAUAAAAAUCGUAAAUUAUUCCUCUUUGGUUGACUCGGGGCGCACCUGGCUACCUUUCGGAGCGCACCGAUGGAGAAAGCCUGUUUAAAGAAUAGAAUGGUGUCGACCGCUAAAUACGGAAGUUUUAUUAAGGCAGCGGAGUAAUUUUAUUUGGAGAGGUUAGUUAAUAUUUAAUAAUUAAACCGCCGUACACUAAAGAUCAGUCUCGGGCCCCCGACUAGCCACCGCCGUACGGUAUGGGGGUUUCCACCGCUCCCAACCCGUAGGGCCUGGUCACUCCAGACUAACCGAUACCCAGCCAUAAUUUAAACUAGGCGCCGGCCAGACAAAUGGCUGGAUAAUUAGCGUAAUAGCAAAGCGUAAUAGAUUACACUCGCUUCCACUCGUUUACGGAGGGUUUGCGGCGAGAAGGGGGUUCGGGUCACAGGGGCCAACGGACGUUUCAUGGAAGAGAGUUGUUUCACCAUGGCGUGCGGCCGUUGCGCGGGGUGGAGGAGCGCUUCCACCUUUCCGAUGACCCGUGGCAGACGUCAGUUUUACAUUUUCAGCCUGUAUUAUCUAUAAUAUGGUACCUUAUUUUAACAACGACAGUUGUAAUAUACGAUACCACGUAUACAGUCAAGAUAUCAU